RNAcentral lists this long non-coding RNA (765 nucleotides) under Accipiter nisus (Eurasian sparrowhawk). Its description in RNAcentral is "lncRNA (ENSANIG00000014903.1)". The record is from RNAcentral. Lineage: Eukaryota; Metazoa; Chordata; Aves; Accipitriformes; Accipitridae.
AUGGCAGGAAGGGGGGACAGAAAAGGGGGGGAAGACAGGACAAGAAAUGGAGGGAAAAAGGGACAGAAAAGGGGGAAGAGAGGAGAGAAAUCGGAGGGAAACGUGACAAAAAAUAUGGGGAAGAGGGGAUGGAAAAGAGGAGGAAGAGGGGAGGGGAAAAUGGAGGCAAGACAGAACAAGAAAUGGACGGAAAAGGAGGGGAAGAGGGGAGACAAAAUGGUGGGAAGAGGUGACAGAAAAUUGAGGAAACGUGACAGAAAAGGGACAGAAGAGGUGGCAGUAAAUGGCGGGAAGAGGAGAGAGAACAAGGGGGAAGAAGGGACAGAAAAUGGCAGGAAGCAGGGACAGAGAAUGGUGGGAAGAGGGGACAAGACAUGGAGGAAGAGGGGACAGAAGUGGGUGACAAGGGGACAUGAGAGGGGACAGCAGAUGACCGCUGGCCACCAUUGUCACCUGUGUCCCCUCAGGCUGCGGCGAUGGACGGUGACCCACACGGUGUCCCUUGUCCCCCUGCGGGGGGUCCACGGCUGGAGGCGCUGCUGGUGCGGAUCCGCAGCCUGCACCGAGCCCGUCAGGUCCUGGCGCGGGAGAUGGCGGAGGCGCAAGGACAGAGCGAGGAGUUGCGACGGCACCUGGAACAACUGGAAGAGCGUCAGGCGGCGCUGGAAGGGCUCUGGCAGCAGAAGCAAGAGGCGCUGCGGGUGGCACGGUUGCGCAGGGAGGAGGUGGAGGCCGAAGGUCAAAGGCGCCAGGGCCUGUGCCUAA